This is a long non-coding RNA of Eupeodes corollae, 553 nucleotides long. RefSeq lists it as uncharacterized. The transcript is spliced from 2 exons. The record is from RefSeq and is a predicted model, not a curated record. NCBI's taxonomy places the organism in Eukaryota, Metazoa, Arthropoda, Insecta, Diptera, Syrphidae.
GUUAUUAUGAAAAACGAAACUCGUUCAAAAUAACGCGUAUUCGUUAAAUUGCGAUUAGGAAAAACGAUUGUAGUAGCACUAAAUCGUCAAAUUGCGAUUAAGAAAAACGAGAAUCGUAAAAAUGACGAUACUCGUAUUUUUAUUUACGAGUGCCUUCAGCUCUCGUUCAGCUUUCGUUGUCAUUUAUUUUUUUAUUUUUGUUUGGUUGAUGGUUGGUUUUUGUUUUGGUGAGCAAAAAAAUGCCUACAACUAAUGCUAAGCAGUUGGAUUUGCUGGUAGCUUUUAUGGAAACCAAUCCAAAUAUAGCAAAAAAUUACUUGCCGACGAGCCAAGCCAAAGCCAAAUCCAAAAAAUACUAGAUUGAAUCGAUUUCACUUUACUUACGUUGAACUUGGAAGGCUCAUUGGGUUCGAUGAAUCUCUUAAAACUCUUCUUUUUAUACGCAUUUCUUCUUCUUCGUUAGUUUGGGAUUCAUCUUCGCUUUCAAGAAAAUAAUCGCAGUGAAAAAACAUUUUAUAGAAUUUAUGCAAAUUACAUUUAUUUUUGAAACUUC